GUUAGUUAUUAUUUUAUAGGAUAUCCAGAAAGAUCAAAGAGUUUUAGAUUUUCUUAUACAUCGCACACUACUAGAAUUAUUGAAACUGAAAUAGCUAGGUUUAUUAAGGAUGGAGAAAAUAGUAAGAGUGGUGAGCCACAUAAUGUGGUGUUAGAGGAAAUAAGAUAAUCUUUUUCUAUUACAGUAACACCUAAAGAUAUUCCAUAUGAACUUGUUCGAUCUG
Molecule: long non-coding RNA, 223 nt
Filed under: Elaeis guineensis (African oil palm)
Lineage: Eukaryota; Viridiplantae; Streptophyta; Magnoliopsida; Arecales; Arecaceae
Description: long non-coding RNA (EGUI_LNC015827)
Source: RNAcentral